Molecule: ribosomal RNA, 329 nt
Filed under: uncultured eukaryote
Lineage: Eukaryota
Description: partial 18S ribosomal RNA
Rfam family: Eukaryotic small subunit ribosomal RNA
Source: RNAcentral
CCCUUAGAUGUCCUGGGCCGCACGCGCGUUACACUGAUGCAUUCAACGAGCUUAUAACCUUGGCCGAGAGGCCUGGGCAAUCUUGUUAACGUGCAUCGUGAUAGGGAUAGAUUAUUGAAAUUAUUAAUCUUGAACGAGGAAUUCCUAGUAAACGCAGAUCAUCAAUCUGCAUUGAUUACGUCCCUGCCCUUUGUACACACCGCCCGUCGCACCUACCGAUUGAAUGGUCCGGUGAAAUCUUCGGAUUGAGACUUUGAUUUCUUCACGGAAAACGCUGUUUUAAAAAGUUGAUUAAACCUUACCAUUUAGAGGAAGGUGAAGUCGUAACA